GAUGAACGCUGGCGGCGUGCCUAAUACAUGCAAGUCGAGCGAACAGACGAGGAGCUUGCUCCUCUGACGUUAGCGGCGGACGGGUGAGUAACACGUGGAUAACCUACCUAUAAGACUGGGAUAACUUCGGGAAACCGGAGCUAAUACCGGAUAAUAUAUUGAACCGCAUGGUUCAAUAGUGAAAGACGGUUUUGCUGUCACUUAUAGAUGGAUCCGCGCCGCAUUAGCUAGUUGGUAAGGUAACGGCUUACCAAGGCAACGAUGCGUAGCCGACCUGGGAGGGUGAUCGGCCACACGGGACUGAGAUACGGCCCAGACUCCUACGGGAGGCAGCAGUGGGGAAUAUUGCACAAUGGGCGGAAGCCUGAUGCAGCAACGCCGCGUGCGGGAUGACGGCCUUCGGGUUGUAAACCGCUUUCGCCUGUGACGAAGCGUGAGUGACGGUAAUGGGUAAAGAAGCACCGGCUAACUACGUG
Molecule: ribosomal RNA, 476 nt
Filed under: uncultured bacterium
Lineage: Bacteria
Description: partial 16S ribosomal RNA
Rfam family: Bacterial small subunit ribosomal RNA
Source: RNAcentral